GAAAAGGGCAACCUGAGUAGAGCGGCGCACGGGUGCGUAACACGUGGGUAAUCUGCCCUUGAGUCUGGGAUAACCUUCCGAAAGGUUGGCUAAUACCGGAUAAGCUCACGGGGACUUCGGUCUCUGUGGGAAAAGUAGGCCACUGUUUACAAGCUUACACUCGAGGAUGAGCCCGCGGCCCAUCAGCUAGUUGGCGGGGUACCGGCCCACCAAGGCUAAGACGGGUAGCUGGUCUGAGAGGACGAUCAGCCACACUGGAUCCCUGACACGNUGAAGNCUCNUNCNUGAAGUCGGAGUGGGUUGAUC
RNAcentral lists this small RNA (306 nucleotides) under uncultured bacterium. Its description in RNAcentral is "bacterial SSU rRNA". It matches the Rfam family "Bacterial small subunit ribosomal RNA", at positions 70 to 358 of the family's 1533-position model. The record is from RNAcentral.